CCUACGGGAGGCAGCAGUCGAGAAUCAUUCACAAUGGGGGAAACCCUGAUGGUGCGACGCCGCGUGGGGGAAUGAAGGUCUUCGGAUUGUAAACCCCUUUCAUGUGGGAGCAAAUUAAAAAGAUAGUACCACAAGAGGAAGAGACGGCUAACUCUGUGCCAGCAGCCGCGGUAAUACCGAGGUCUCAAGCGUUGUUCGGAAUUACUGGGCGUAAAGGGUGCGUAGGCUGUUUUGUAAGUUGCGUGUGAAAGGCCCGGGUUAAACCCGCGGAAGGCAGAUGAAACUGGGAGACUAGUGUAUUGGAGGGGGAACCGGAAUUCUAGGUGUAGCAGUGAAAUGCGUAGAUAUCGGGAGGAACACUCGUGGCGAAGGCGGGUUCCUGGACAUUAACUGACGCUGAGGCACGAAGGCCAGGGGAGCGAAAGGGAUUAGAUACCCGGGUAGUC
RNAcentral lists this ribosomal RNA (446 nucleotides) under uncultured bacterium. RNAcentral's name for it is "partial 16S ribosomal RNA". It matches the Rfam family "Bacterial small subunit ribosomal RNA", at positions 338 to 795 of the family's 1533-position model. The record is from RNAcentral.